This 1472-nucleotide ribosomal RNA is filed under the name metagenome. RNAcentral's name for it is "bacterial LSU rRNA". It matches the Rfam family "Bacterial large subunit ribosomal RNA", at positions 1455 to 2925 of the family's 2925-position model. The record is from RNAcentral.
CUGUAACAGGUGUGACGCAGGAAGGUAGCCUGUGCCGGGCGAUGGUUGUCCCGGUGUAAGCAUGUAGCCCAUCGAUGAGUAAUAUUUUUCGGCUUUGGGUGAGAUGUGAUGCGGACCCGUAUGGGGAAGCAGGUGAUCCUAUGCUGCCAAGAAAAGCAUCGGCGCGAGGUUUUAGCGGCCCGUACCCCAAACCGACACAGGUGGUCAGGUAGAGAAUACUCAGGAGAUCGAGAGUAUCAUGGUGAAGGAACUCGGCAAAAUGCCCCCGUAACUUCGGGAGAAGGGGGGCCAUCCACUUAUAUGGAUUUACUCCAGAAAGGGUGUGGUGGCCGCAGAGACCAGUGGGAAGCGACUGUUUACUAAAAACACAGGUCCGUGCGAACAUGCAAAUGGAUGUAUACGGACUGACGCCUCCCCGGUGCUGGAAGGUUAAGAGGAGAGGUUAGACCUUUGGGUCGAAGCUUUGAAUUUAAGCCCCAGUAAACGGCGGUGGUAACGAUAACCAUCCUAAGGUAGCGAAAUUCCUUGUCGGGUAAGUUCCGACCUGCACGAAUGGCGUAACGACUUCCCAGCUGUCUCCACCAUGAACUCGGCGAAAUUGCAGUACGAGUAAAGAUGCUCGUUACGCGCAGAAGGACGGAAAGACCCCGUGACCUUUACUACAGCUUGGUAUUGGUGUUCGGUGUGGCUUGUGUAGGAUAGGUGGGAGACUGUGAAGCUGCAACGCUAGUUGUGGUGGAGUCGUUGUUGAAAUACCACUCUGGUCAUACUGGAUGUCUAACUACGGACCCUGAUCGGGUUCUGGGACAGUGCCUGGUGGUAGUUUAACUGGGGCGGUUGCCUCCCAAAAUGUAACGGAGGCGCCCAAAGGUUCCCUCAACCUGGUUGGCAAUCAGGUGGCGAGUGUAAGUGCACAAGGGAGCUUGACUGUGAGACUGACAGGUCGAGCAGGGACGAAAGUCGGGACUAGUGAUCCGGCAGUGGCUUGUGGAAGCGCUGUCGCUCAACGGAUAAAAGGUACCUCGGGGAUAACAGGCUGAUCUUGCCCAAGAGUCCAUAUCGACGGCAUGGUUUGGCACCUCGAUGUCGGCUCGUCGCAUCCUGGGGCUGGAGUAGGUCCCAAGGGUUGGGCUGUUCGCCCAUUAAAGCGGUACGCGAGCUGGGUUUAGAACGUCGUGAGACAGUUCGGUCCCUAUCCUCUGCGCGCGUUGGAGAUUUGAGAGGAUCUGACCCUAGUACGAGAGGACCGGGUUGGACGGACCUCUGGUGUGCCAGUUGUUCUGCCAAGGGCAUGGCUGGUUUGCUACGUUCGGGAUGGAUAACCGCUGAAAGCAUCUAAGCGGGAAGCCGGCCUCAAGAUGAGAUCUCCAUGGACUUCGGUCCGUGAGGCUCCCAGGAGAUUACUGGGUUGAUAGGCCAGAUGUGGAAGCGCCGUAAGGUGUGGAGCUGACUGGUACUAAUAAGCCGAUGAC